CACGUAGGGGACGAGCGUUGUCCGGAUUCAUUGGGCGUAAAGGGCGCGUAGGUGGCGGGGUUAGUCAGGUGUGAAAUCUCGGGGCUCAACCCCGAAACUGCACUUGAUACUGCCUUGCUAGAGUACUGGAGAGGAGAUUGGAAUUUACGGUGUAGCAGUGAAAUGCGUAGAUAUCGUAAGGAAGACCAGUGGCGAAGGCGAAUCUCUGGACAGUUACUGACACUGAGGCUCGAAGGCCAGGGGAGCAAACGGG
Molecule: ribosomal RNA, 253 nt
Filed under: uncultured bacterium
Lineage: Bacteria
Description: partial 16S ribosomal RNA
Rfam family: Bacterial small subunit ribosomal RNA
Source: RNAcentral